GUGCCAGCCGCUGCGGUAAUACGGAGGGUGCAAGCGUUAAUCGGAAUUACUGGGCGUAAAGCGCACGCAGGCGGUCUGACAAGUCGGAUGUGAAAUCCCCGGGCUCAACCCGGGAACUGCAUUCGAAACUGUCAGGCUGGAGUCUUGUAGAGGGGUAGAAUUCCAGGUGUAGCGGUGAAAUGCGUAGAGAUCUGGAGGAAUACCGGUGGCGAAGGCGGCCCCCUGGACAAAGACUGACGCUCAGGUGCGAAAGCGUGGGGAGCAAACAGGAUUAGAUACCCUGGUAGUCCACGCUGUAAACGAUGUCGACUUGGAGUUGUGCCCUUGAGGCGUGGCUUCCGGAGCUAACGCGUUAAGUCGACCGCCUGGGGAGUACGGCCGCAAGGUUAAAACUCAAAUGAAUUGACGGGGCCCGCACAAGCGGUGGAGCAUGUGGUUUAAUUCGAUGCAAACGCGAAGAACCUUACCUAGGUCUUGACAUCCACAGAACUUGGCAGAGAUGCCUUGGUGCCUUGGGAACUGUGAGACAGGU
This 532-nucleotide ribosomal RNA is filed under the name uncultured Escherichia sp. RNAcentral's name for it is "bacterial SSU rRNA". It matches the Rfam family "Bacterial small subunit ribosomal RNA", at positions 505 to 1039 of the family's 1533-position model. Lineage: Bacteria; Pseudomonadati; Pseudomonadota; Gammaproteobacteria; Enterobacterales; Enterobacteriaceae. The record is from RNAcentral.